RNAcentral lists this transfer RNA (67 nucleotides) under human gut metagenome. It matches the Rfam family "tRNA". Rfam says of the family: Transfer RNA (tRNA) molecules are approximately 80 nucleotides in length. Their secondary structure includes four short double-helical elements and three loops (D, anti-codon, and T loops). RNAcentral also lists the same sequence under 1 other name. The record is from RNAcentral.
CCUUUAGCUCAGUUGGCUAGAGCGCACGACUGAUAAUCGUGAGGUCAGAAGUUCGAAUCUUCUAAGG